Vicugna pacos (alpaca) is the source of this 191-nucleotide small nuclear RNA. Its record names the gene U2. It matches the Rfam family "U2 spliceosomal RNA". Rfam says of the family: U2 is a small nuclear RNA (snRNA) component of the spliceosome (involved in pre-mRNA splicing). Complementary binding between U2 snRNA (in an area lying towards the 5' end but 3' to hairpin I) and the branchpoint sequence (BPS) of the intron results the bulging out of an unpaired adenosine, on the BPS, which initiates a nucleophilic attack at the intronic 5' splice site, thus starting the first of two transesterification reactions that mediate splicing. NCBI's taxonomy places the organism in Eukaryota, Metazoa, Chordata, Mammalia, Artiodactyla, Camelidae. The record is from Ensembl.
AUCACUUCUCAGCCUUCUGGCUAAGAUCAAGUAUAGUAUCUGUUCUUAUCAGCUUAAUAUCUGACACACCCUCUACUUGAGGACAAUAUAUGAAAUGGAUCUUUGGAGCAGAGAGUUGGAAGAGGAGCUUGCACCGCCCGCUCCACGCACUGGCCUGGUAUUGCAGUACUUCCAGGAACGGUGUACGCCCU